GCGCGGGUGCCCCUGCUCAAAAGGCUCGGUGAGCAGAGCGCCAGAGCACACUGCACUGUCUCCUCCUCCUCUUCUUCUUCGCUAAGUACUGUAGAACAUAGUUGUGGAAAAUAUUUUGAUCUGAUCACGAUGGAAUGGACACAAUGGCUGCAGGGAAGUUCAUGAACGAUCACCCUUGCUUGACCGCGGUGUUCGGGAUGGUCGGCGCCGGGCUGGCCGUGGCAGCUUUCUACGUGCUGAUUGAGGGGAUUUGCCGCUGGAUGGAGAGCAAGAUCAGGCCCAUCAACAACGCCCCAGUUGUGCCAGUAGCAGUGGCAGGGUGAUGGACUGAUGGUUUAAGUUGAGCAACCGCUCGGCGAUCGAUCUGCACUGCAGCAGCAACAUACUUACUCCAGUAGGCCAAGUCUGUAAAUAGUUAAGCAUGCGUGCACUAAGUAGUAGCAGCAGUACCGACUCUCCAGUCUUGAUGCUGCCGGUUUUCGGAAUCCAGGAACGAGCACCCGCGACUUCAAACUUAAUUCGUGCUUGCAGAUCUCUGAUCUCUUAUAUACAAGAGAGACUUAAGUAUUGAACCUUUAAUCCUUGAUCCACCAUUGAUGCCCGUGUUACGAUAUAUGGGAGUUAUUCUCAGCUAUGAAGUUAUCAUGAACUUACUAUGUGAGUUGCCA
Triticum dicoccoides is the source of this 668-nucleotide long non-coding RNA. RefSeq lists it as uncharacterized. The record is from RefSeq and is a predicted model, not a curated record. The transcript has 2 exons. Lineage: Eukaryota; Viridiplantae; Streptophyta; Magnoliopsida; Poales; Poaceae.